GGACGGGUGAGUAACACGUGGGUAACCUGCCUGUAAGACUGGGAUAACUCCGGGAAACCGGAGCUAAUACCGGAUAGUUCCUUGAACCGCAUGGUUCAAGGAUGAAAGACGGUUUCGGCUGUCACUUACAGAUGGACCCGCGGCGCAUUAGCUAGUUGGUGGGGUAAUGGCUCACCAAGGCGACGAUGCGUAGCCGACCUGAGAGGGUGAUCGGCCACACUGGGACUGAGACACGGCCCAGACUCCUACGGGAGGCAGCAGUAGGGAAUCUUCCGCAAUGGACGAAAGUCUGACGGAUCAACGCCGCGUGAGUGAUGAAGGUUUUCGGGAUCGUAAAGCUCUGUUGUUAGGGAAGAACAAGUGCGAGAGUAACUGCUCGCACCUUGACGGUACCUA
Molecule: ribosomal RNA, 396 nt
Filed under: marine bacterium SIMO-IS214
Lineage: Bacteria; Bacillati; Bacillota
Description: bacterial SSU rRNA
Rfam family: Bacterial small subunit ribosomal RNA
Source: RNAcentral